Long non-coding RNA from Coregonus clupeaformis (lake whitefish), 168 nucleotides. RefSeq lists it as uncharacterized. NCBI's taxonomy places the organism in Eukaryota, Metazoa, Chordata, Actinopteri, Salmoniformes, Salmonidae. The transcript has 3 exons. The record is from RefSeq and is a predicted model, not a curated record.
CUCUGAGGGACAUGACACCAAAACUAAGAGCCCAAUCAAGCAGGAGAGACCAGCCUCCCCUGUACCCAGCUGUGUGUCCAUGAGGAGUGACAAGUCUAUGGGUCUUCCUAUAUUCUUCAGAGAGGUAGACUUUUCUACUGAACAAAGAAUCUCCAACCAAAUUCGGAG